RNAcentral lists this ribosomal RNA (253 nucleotides) under uncultured bacterium. RNAcentral describes it as "partial 16S ribosomal RNA". It matches the Rfam family "Bacterial small subunit ribosomal RNA", at positions 524 to 776 of the family's 1533-position model. The record is from RNAcentral.
UACGUAGGGUGCAAGCGUUAAUCGGAAUUGCUGGGCGUAAAGCGUGCGCGGGCGGCUUUGCAAGACAGAUGUGAAAUCCCCGGGCUCAACCUGGGAACUGCAUUUGUGACUGCAAGGCUAGAGUACGGUAGAGGGGGAUGGAAUUCCGCGUGUAGCAGUGAAAUGCGUGGAUAUGCGGAGGAACACCGAUGGCGAAGGCAAUCCCCUGGGCCUGCACUGACGCUCAUGCACGAAAGCGUGGGGAGCAAACAGG